CCUACGGGAGGCAGCAGUGGGGGAUAUUGCACAAUGGGGGGAACCCUGAUGCAGCGACGCCGCGUGAGUGAAGAAGCGUUUCGGUAUGUAAAGCUCUGUCAGCAGGGAAGAAAAUGACGGUACCUGACCAAGAAGCCCUGGCUAACUACGUGCCAGCAGCCGCGGUAAUACGUAGGGGGCAAGCGUUAUCCGGAUUUACUGGGUGUAAAGGGGGCGUAGACGGGGAUGUAAGGCAGGAGGGAAAGCCCGGGGCCCAACCCCGGGACUGCUUUGGAAACUGGGUGACUGGAGUGCAGGAGGGGCAGGCGGAAUUCCUGGUGUAGCGGUGAAAUGCGUAGAUAUCAGGAGGAACACCGGCGGCGAAGGCGGCCUGCUGGACUGCAACUGACGUUGAGGCUCGAAAGCGUGGGGAGCAAACAGGAUUAGAUACCCGUGUAGUC
This 440-nucleotide ribosomal RNA is filed under the name uncultured bacterium. RNAcentral describes it as "partial 16S ribosomal RNA". It matches the Rfam family "Bacterial small subunit ribosomal RNA", at positions 338 to 795 of the family's 1533-position model. The record is from RNAcentral.